GGGCUUGUGGCUCAGUAGUAGAGCGUCUCGUUCGCAACGAGAAGGCCGCGGGUGCGAUCCCCGCCAAGUCCA
The sequence is a transfer RNA, 72 nucleotides long. It matches the Rfam family "tRNA". From Rfam's summary of the family: Transfer RNA (tRNA) molecules are approximately 80 nucleotides in length. Their secondary structure includes four short double-helical elements and three loops (D, anti-codon, and T loops). The record is from Rfam.